GAUGAACGCUGGCGGCGUGCCUAAUACAUGCAAGUCGAGCGAACAGAUGAGGAGCUUGCUCCUCUGACGUUAGCGGCGGACGGGUGAGUAACACGUGGAUAACCUACCUAUAAGACUGGGAUAACUUCGGGAAACCGGAGCUAAUACCGGAGAAUAUAUUGAACCGCAUGGUUCAAUAGUGAAAUACGGUUUUGCUGUCACUUAUAGAUGGAUCCGCGCCGCAUCAGCUAGUUGGUAAGGUAACGGCUUACCAAGGCAACGAUGCGUAGCCGACCUGAGAGGGUGAUCGGCCACACUGGAACUGAGACACGGUCCAGACUCCUACGGGAGGCAGCAGUAGGGAAUCUUCCGCAAUGGGCGAAAGCCUGACGGAGCAACGCCGCGUGAGUGAUGAAGGUCUUCGGAUCGUAAAACUCUGUUAUUAGGGAAGAACAAAUGUGUAAGUAACUAUGCACGUCUUGACGGUACCUAAUCAGAAAGCCACGGCUAACUACGUG
This 497-nucleotide ribosomal RNA is filed under the name uncultured bacterium. RNAcentral describes it as "partial 16S ribosomal RNA". It matches the Rfam family "Bacterial small subunit ribosomal RNA", at positions 28 to 507 of the family's 1533-position model. The record is from RNAcentral.